Molecule: ribosomal RNA, 497 nt
Filed under: uncultured bacterium
Lineage: Bacteria
Description: partial 16S ribosomal RNA
Rfam family: Bacterial small subunit ribosomal RNA
Source: RNAcentral
GAUGAACGCUGGCGGCGUGCCUAAUACAUGCAAGUCGAGCGAUCAGACGUUGAGCUUGCUCCUCUGACGUUAGCGGCGGACGGGUGAGUACCACGCGGAUAACCUACCUUUAAUACUGGGAUAACUUCGGGAAACCGGAUCCAAUCCCGGAUAAUAUACUGAACCGCAUGGUUCCAUAGUCAAAGACGGUUGUGCUGUCACUUAUAGAUGGAUCCGCGCCGCAUUAGCUAGUUGGUAAGGUAACGGCUUACCAAGGCAACGAUGCGUAGCCGACCUGAGAGGGUGAUCGGCCACACUGGAACUGAGACACGGUCCAGACUCCUACGGGAGGCAGCAGUAGGGAAUCUUCCGCAAUGGGCGAAAGCCUGACGGAGCAACGCCGCGUGAGUGAUGAAGGUCUUCGGAUCGUAAAACUCUGUUAUUAGGGAAGAACAAAUGUGUAAGUAACUAUGCACGUCUUGACGGUACCUAAUCAGAAAGCCACGGCUAACUACGUG